RNAcentral lists this ribosomal RNA (253 nucleotides) under uncultured bacterium. Its description in RNAcentral is "partial 16S ribosomal RNA". It matches the Rfam family "Bacterial small subunit ribosomal RNA", at positions 524 to 776 of the family's 1533-position model. The record is from RNAcentral.
UACAGAGGUCCCAAGCGUUGUUCGGAUUCACUGGGCGUAAAGGGUGCGUAGGCGGGUUUUUAAGUCAGGGGUGAAAUCCUGGAGCUCAACUCCAGAACUGCCUUUGAUACUGGGGAUCUUGAGUACGGGAGAGGUGAGUGGAACUGCGAGUGUAGAGGUGAAAUUCGUAGAUAUUCGCAAGAACACCAGUGGCGAAGGCGGCUCACUGGCCCGUAACUGACGCUGAGGCACGAAAGCGUGGGGAGCAAACAGG